CCUACGGGAGGCAGCAGUGGGGAAUAUUGCACAAUGGGGGAAACCCUGAUGCAGCGACGCCGCGUGAGUGAGGAAGGAUGUCGGAAUGUAAAGCUCUAUCAGCAGGGAAGAAAAUGACGGUACCUGACGAAGAAGCACCGGCUAACUACGUGCCAGCAGCAGCGGUAAGACGUAGGGGGCAAGCGUUAUCCGGAUUUACUGGGUGUAAAGGGAGCGUAGACGGGUACUCAAGUCAGAAGUGAAAACCCAGGGCUCAACCUUGGGACUGCUUUUGAAACUGAGUAGCUAGAGUGCAGGAGAGGUAAGCGGCAUUCCUGUUGUAGCGGUUCACUGCGUCGAUCUUAGGCGG
RNAcentral lists this ribosomal RNA (349 nucleotides) under uncultured bacterium. Its description in RNAcentral is "partial 16S ribosomal RNA". It matches the Rfam family "Bacterial small subunit ribosomal RNA", at positions 338 to 704 of the family's 1533-position model. The record is from RNAcentral.